RNAcentral lists this long non-coding RNA (204 nucleotides) under Mytilus galloprovincialis (Mediterranean mussel). The record is from RNAcentral. Lineage: Eukaryota; Metazoa; Mollusca; Bivalvia; Mytilida; Mytilidae.
AAUUGAAGAUUUCUUCUUGAAAAUUUUCAAAAUUUGAAAUUUGAAAAAUUUUGAAAAAAAAAGAAAUCCCUUAAAAAAUUGUUUACAAAUCCCCCCCCCCCCCAUUUAUUGAAACCCCCUUUAAGGAAUAACCCUUAAACACAAUCCCAUCCUUUCCUUUUAAGUAUAGAACCUUGUAGUACAAUUACAGAGAGAUCCAUAUAC